RNAcentral lists this ribosomal RNA (1598 nucleotides) under Salmonella enterica subsp. enterica. RNAcentral's name for it is "partial 23S ribosomal RNA". It matches the Rfam family "Bacterial large subunit ribosomal RNA", at positions 1223 to 2803 of the family's 2925-position model. Lineage: Bacteria; Pseudomonadati; Pseudomonadota; Gammaproteobacteria; Enterobacterales; Enterobacteriaceae. The record is from RNAcentral.
GUUGGGUAGGGGAGCGUUCUGUAAGCCUGUGAAGGUGUGUCGUGAGGCAUGCUGGAGGUAUCAGAAGUGCGAAUGCUGACAUAAGUAACGAUAAAGCGGGUGAAAAGCCCGCUCGCCGGAAGACCAAGGGUUCCUGUCCAACGUUAAUCGGGGCAGGGUGAGUCGACCCCUAAGGCGAGGCCGAAAGGCGUAGUCGAUGGGAAACGGGUUAAUAUUCCCGUACUUGGUGUUACUGCGAAGGGGGGACGGAGAAGGCUAUGUUGGCCGGGCGACGGUUGUCCCGGUUUAAGCGUGUAGGUGUGUGUUCCAGGUAAAUCCGGUUCACUUUAACACUGAGGCGUGAUGACGAGGCACUACGGUGCUGAAGCAACAAAUGCCCUGCUUCCAGGAAAAGCCUCUAAGCAUCAGGUAACAUCAAAUCGUACCCCAAACCGACACAGGUGGUCAGGUAGAGAAUACCAAGGCGCUUGAGAGAACUCGGGUGAAGGAACUAGGCAAAAUGGUGCCGUAACUUCGGGAGAAGGCACGCUGACACGUAGGUGAAGUGAUUUACUCACGGAGCUGAAGUCAGUCGAAGAUACCAGCUGGCUGCAACUGUUUAUUAAAAACACAGCACUGUGCAAACACGAAAGUGGACGUAUACGGUGUGACGCCUGCCCGGUGCCGGAAGGUUAAUUGAUGGGGUCAGCGCAAGCGAAGCUCCUGAUCGAAGCCCCGGUAAACGGCGGCCGUAACUAUAACGGUCCUAAGGUAGCGAAAUUCCUUGUCGGGUAAGUUCCGACCUGCACGAAUGGCGUAAUGAUGGCCAGGCUGUCUCCACCCGAGACUCAGUGAAAUUGAACUCGCUGUGAAGAUGCAGUGUACCCGCGGCAAGACGGAAAGACCCCGUGAACCUUUACUAUAGCUUGACACUGAACAUUGAGCCUUGAUGUGUAGGAUAGGUGGGAGGCUUUGAAGUGUGGACGCCAGUCUGCAUGGAGCCGACCUUGAAAUACCACCCUUUAAUGUUUGAUGUUCUAACGUGGACCCGUUACCCGGGUUGCGGACAGUGUCUGGUGGGUAGUUUGACUGGGGCGGUCUCCUCCUAAAGAGUAACGGAGGAGCACGAAGGUUGGCUAAUCCUGGUCGGACAUCAGGAGGUUAGUGCAAUGGCAUAAGCCAGCUUGACUGCGAGCGUGACGGCGCGAGCAGGUGCGAAAGCAGGUCAUAGUGAUCCGGUGGUUCUGAAUGGAAGGGCCAUCGCUCAACGGAUAAAAGGUACUCCGGGGAUAACAGGCUGAUACCGCCCAAGAGUUCAUAUCGACGGCGGUGUUUGGCACCUCGAUGUCGGCUCAUCACAUCCUGGGGCUGAAGUAGGUCCCAAGGGUAUGGCUGUUCGCCAUUUAAAGUGGUACGCGAGCUGGGUUUAGAACGUCGUGAGACAGUUCGGUCCCUAUCUGCCGUGGGCGCUGGAGAACUGAGGGGGGCUGCUCCUAGUACGAGAGGACCGGAGUGGACGCAUCACUGGUGUUCGGGUUGUCAUGCCAAUGGCACUGCCCGGUAGCUAAAUGCGGAAGAGAUAAGUGCUGAAAGCAUCUAAGCACGAAACUUGCCCCGAG